Jaculus jaculus (lesser Egyptian jerboa) is the source of this 134-nucleotide small nucleolar RNA. The record is from Ensembl. NCBI's taxonomy places the organism in Eukaryota, Metazoa, Chordata, Mammalia, Rodentia, Dipodidae.
AAGCCAGCUAAUUAAUUGGUCUGCUUAUCUGAAUGUGUUUCUGCAGAAAUGUAGAGAGCUGGCAAUAGUGAUGCCAUGUUAACGAGCCUUAAGGACAGUUGAGGUCAUUAAGGUCCUUGAAAAUGGCUACAAUA